RNAcentral lists this non-coding RNA (103 nucleotides) under Robbsia andropogonis. RNAcentral describes it as "Burkholderia andropogonis Fluoride sequence". It matches the Rfam family "Fluoride riboswitch aptamer (crcB RNA motif)". The record is from Rfam by way of RNAcentral. Lineage: Bacteria; Pseudomonadati; Pseudomonadota; Betaproteobacteria; Burkholderiales; Burkholderiaceae.
AGCCGCGCAGGAGAUGGUGCUCCUCCUGGUUUAGACAAACCGCCCCGUCGAUCGCUGAAUAUAUUAUUCCGCAGGACGCGAGGCCGAUGGCGCCUACAGUUUC